AGUCGAGGGGUAUAGAUCUUCGGAAUUAGAGACCGGCGCACGGGUGCGUAACGCGUAUGCAAUCUACCUUUCACAGAGGGAUAGCCCAGAGAAAUUUGGAUUAAUACCUCAUAGUAUAUAACGGCCGCAUGGUUGAUCUAUUAAAGUCACAACGGUGAAAGAUGAGCAUGCGUCCCAUUAGCUAGUUGGUAAGGUAACGGCUUACCAAGGCUACGAUGGGUAGGGGUCCUGAGAGGGAGAUCCCCCACACUGGUACUGAGACACGGACCAGACUCCUACGGGAGGCAGCAGUGAGGAAUAUUGGACAAUGGGCGCAAGCCUGAUCCAGCCAUGCCGCGUGCAGGAUGACGGUCCUAUGGAUUGUAAACUGCUUUUGCACAGGAAGAAACAACAUUACGUGUAAUGUCUUGACGGUACUGUGAGAAUAAGGAUCGGCUAACUCCGUGCCAGCAGCCGCGGUAAUACGGAGGAUCCAAGCGUUAUCCGGAAUCAUUGGGUUUAAAGGGUCCGUAGGCGGUUUAGUAAGUCAGUGGUGAAAGCCCAUCGCUCAACGGUGGAACGGCCAUUGAUACUGCUAGACUUGAAUUAUUAGGAAGUAACUAGAAUAUGUAGUGUAGCGGUGAAAUGCUUAGAGAUUACAUGGAAUACCAAUUGCGAAGGCAGGUUACUACUAAUGGAUUGACGCUGAUGG
This 691-nucleotide ribosomal RNA is filed under the name Flavobacterium sp. T160.10.BNT.W.Gill.N. RNAcentral's name for it is "bacterial SSU rRNA". It matches the Rfam family "Bacterial small subunit ribosomal RNA", at positions 60 to 752 of the family's 1533-position model. Lineage: Bacteria; Pseudomonadati; Bacteroidota; Flavobacteriia; Flavobacteriales; Flavobacteriaceae. The record is from RNAcentral.